Molecule: unclassified non-coding RNA, 761 nt
Filed under: Hevea brasiliensis (rubber tree)
Lineage: Eukaryota; Viridiplantae; Streptophyta; Magnoliopsida; Malpighiales; Euphorbiaceae
Source: RNAcentral
CACUAAACCAUUUUUGAGUCACUGAAUUAGGUGAAGAAGGUGGCUGAAUAUUCUUUAGCAAUGCAAUAUCAUCACAAUCUGGUUGUGAAGGUUGCAGCUCCACACUCUUUGAGACGUCGUUAUCAUUAUGUCCGUCUUCUAUAUUCUCUAAUUCAUAUUCCCCACGUUCAGCUCUUUGUAGUUCUUCCAAUACCUCAUCCAUAGAAGGUCUCAUUUCUUUAUCAUGUUGCAAGCAUUGAAAGGCCAGCUCUGCAAUUGUAGUUAUCAUUCUUUUAACUACCUCAUUUGACUGAUGCCCAAGACAUGGGUCAAUCAACUCAUCAAAAGCGCAUUUUCGAAUCUUGUUCAUUGCUAAGUUUGCCAAAUUAAUCUCAUGCCGAUGCCUAGUCAUGUCAACAGCAGGCAUUGAUGAUAUGAGUUCAAUAAGGACGACACCAAAGCUGUAGACAUCGCUCUUAUUAGUUAGCUGGUAAAAUUGGUGAUAUUCAGGAUCAACAUAGCCAGGAGUCCCUUGCGGAGCAGUUGAGACAUGGGUGGCAUCAGUGGGGAACAACCUGGAAAGCCCAAGAUCUGCAACUUUGACAUGGUAAUUGUUGUCAAGGAGAAUGUUAUUAGUUUUCACAUCCCGAUGAAUGAUAUCGGAAGCAUGGAGAUAAGCCAAAGCGCUAGCUGUUUCUAUAGCAAUCCUCAUACGAAUUGGCCAAGUUAGUGGACUAGAGUGGAUUCCAUUACCAUGGAGAUGAUCAGCAACGGUGCCAUUG